RNAcentral lists this ribosomal RNA (489 nucleotides) under Rhodosporidiobolus nylandii. RNAcentral's name for it is "LSU rRNA". It matches the Rfam family "Eukaryotic large subunit ribosomal RNA", at positions 160 to 663 of the family's 3401-position model. Lineage: Eukaryota; Fungi; Basidiomycota; Microbotryomycetes; Sporidiobolales; Sporidiobolaceae. The record is from RNAcentral.
GUUUUCCGCGUUGGACCGCACACAAGUCUGUUGGAAUACAGCGGCACAGUGGUGAGACCCCCGUAUACGGUGCGGAUGCCCAAUGCUUUGUGAUACACUUUCGAAGAGUCGAGUUGUUUGGGAAUGCAGCUCAAAUUGGGUGGUAAAUUCCAUCUAAAGCUAAAUAUUGGCGAGAGACCGAUAGCGAACAAGUACCGUGAGGGAAAGAUGAAAAGCACUUUGGAAAGAGAGUUAACAGUACGUGAAAUUGUUGGAAGGGAAACGCUUGAAGUCAGACUUGCUAUUCGGGUUUACUCGAGUUGCAGGCCAGCAUCAGUUUUCUGGGGUGGAAAAUCACGGUUUGAAGGUAGCAACUUCGGUUGUGUUAUAGCUUUCCGUUGGAUACAUCCUGGGGGACUGAGGAUCGCAGUGUGCUUUUAGCAGGAGCUUCGGCUUCAUCACACUUAGGAUGCUGGUGUAAUGGCUUUAAACGACCCGUCUUGAAACACG